This 254-nucleotide ribosomal RNA is filed under the name uncultured bacterium. Its description in RNAcentral is "partial 16S ribosomal RNA". It matches the Rfam family "Bacterial small subunit ribosomal RNA", at positions 524 to 776 of the family's 1533-position model. The record is from RNAcentral.
UACGUAGGGAGCAAGCGUUGUCCGGAUUUACUGGGCGUAAAGAGCGCGCAGGCGGUCGUUCAAGUCGCGUGUGAAAGCCCCCGGCUCAACUGGGGAGGGUCACGCGAUACUGAUCGACUCGAAGGCAGGAGAGGGUAGUGGAAUUCCCGGUGUAGUGGUGAAAUGCGUAGAUAUCGGGAGGAACACCAGUGGCGAAGGCGACUACCUGGCCUGUUUCUUGACGCUGAGGCGCGAAAGCUAGGGGAGCAAACGGG